This 479-nucleotide ribosomal RNA is filed under the name uncultured bacterium. RNAcentral's name for it is "bacterial SSU rRNA". It matches the Rfam family "Bacterial small subunit ribosomal RNA", at positions 46 to 518 of the family's 1533-position model. The record is from RNAcentral.
GCCUAAUACAUGCAAGUCGAACGGAGCACUCGGUGCUAGUGGCGAACGGGUGAGUAAUAUAUGAACAACCUACCCCGUUGACCGGGAUAACACACUGAAAAGCGUGCUAAUACCGGGAUAGGCGAUCGAGAGGCAUCUCUUGAUUAUUAAAGGAGCGCAGUGCUCCACAUUGGGAUGGGUUCAUAUCGCAUUAGCUAGUUGGUGAGGUAACGGCCCACCAAGGCGAUGAUGCGUAGCCGAUCUGAGAGGAUGACCGGCCACAUUGGGACUGAGACACGGCCCAGACUCCUACGGGAGGCAGCAGUAGGGAAUUUUCGGCAAGUGGGCGCAAGCCUGACCGAGCAACGCCGCGUGAACGAUGAAGGUCUUUAAUGGAUUGUAAAGUUCUGUUACGAGGGAAGAACAGCACUGAUAGGAAAUGAUCAGUGUGUGACGGUACCUCGCCAGAAAGCCACGGCUAACUACGUGCCAGCAGCAGC